RNAcentral lists this ribosomal RNA (712 nucleotides) under Streptococcus anginosus. Its description in RNAcentral is "bacterial SSU rRNA". It matches the Rfam family "Bacterial small subunit ribosomal RNA", at positions 57 to 744 of the family's 1533-position model. The record is from RNAcentral. Lineage: Bacteria; Bacillati; Bacillota; Bacilli; Lactobacillales; Streptococcaceae.
GCAAGUAGGACGCACAGUUUAUACCGUAGCUUGCUACACCAUAGACUGUGAGUUGCGAACGGGUGAGUAACGCGUAGGUAACCUGCCUAUUAGAGGGGGAUAACUAUUGGAAACGAUAGCUAAUACCGCAUAACAGUAUGUAACACAUGUUAGAUGCUUGAAAGAUGCAAUUGCAUCGCUAGUAGAUGGACCUGCGUUGUAUUAGCUAGUAGGUAGGGUAAUGGCCUACCUAGGCGACGAUACAUAGCCGACCUGAGAGGGUGAUCGGCCACACUGGGACUGAGACACGGCCCAGACUCCUACGGGAGGCAGCAGUAGGGAAUCUUCGGCAAUGGGGGGAACCCUGACCGAGCAACGCCGCGUGAGUGAAGAAGGUUUUCGGAUCGUAAAGCUCUGUUGUUAAGGAAGAACGAGUGUGAGAAUGGAAAGUUCAUACUGUGACGGUACUUAACCAGAAAGGGACGGCUAACUACGUGCCAGCAGCCGCGGUAAUACGUAGGUCCCGAGCGUUGUCCGGAUUUAUUGGGCGUAAAGCGAGCGCAGGCGGUUAGAAAAGUCUGAAGUGAAAGGCAGUGGCUCAACCAUUGUAGGCUUUGGAAACUGUUUAACUUGAGUGCAGAAGGGGAGAGUGGAAUUCCAUGUGUAGCGGUGAAAUGCGUAGAUAUAUGGAGGAACACCGGUGGCGAAAGCGGCUCUCUGGUCUGUAACUGAC